CCUACGGGGCGCAGCAGUGGGGAAUAUUGGACAAUGGGCGAAAGCCUGAUCCAGCCAUGCCGCGUGUGUGAAGAAGGCCUUCGGGUUGUAAAGCACUUUCAGUGGGGAAGAAAGCCUUGGGGCUAAUACCCUCGAGGAAGGACAUCACCCACAGAAGAAGCACCGGCUAACUCCGUGCCAGCAGCCGCGGUAAUACGGAGGGUGCGAGCGUUAAUCGGAAUUACUGGGCGUAAAGCGCGCGUAGGCGGUCUGAUAAGCCGGUUGUGAAAGCCCCGGGCUCAACCUGGGAACGGCAUCCGGAACCGUCAGGCUAGAGUGCAGGAGAGGAAGGUAGAAUUCCCGGUGUAGCGGUGAAAUGCGUAGAGAUCGGGAGGAAUACCAGUGGCGAAGGCGGCCUUCUGGACUGACACUGACGCUGAGGUGCGAAAGCGUGGGUAGCAAACAGGAUUAGAUACCCUGGUAGUC
Molecule: ribosomal RNA, 465 nt
Filed under: Vreelandella stevensii
Lineage: Bacteria; Pseudomonadati; Pseudomonadota; Gammaproteobacteria; Oceanospirillales; Halomonadaceae
Description: partial 16S ribosomal RNA
Rfam family: Bacterial small subunit ribosomal RNA
Source: RNAcentral